GCAGCGAAGGCGAGCUGUCUGGAAGUUUUCACCCCUCCCUGCUGAGCAACUACUGAAAAUCUUGCCUAUUUGGGUACCCAUUGGUGAUGAUGCACUACACUUUGGGCCUCAAGACUAGCCCUGGCUGAAACACACUUUUUAAAAAAGGCUUUGUAUAAAAUGAGUUGAAAACAUGUCUAAUAACAACACAAUACCCCAACUCCAAAGAACUGAUUGUCCAGUUGCAACAGAACAGCACAACAGGUUUGUGCAGCUUGAACAUCAAGUUAAAGGUCAUCUUUUGCUGUCACUAAAAAUAAGCUACAAUGGAAGGUUCAGGGGAGGGAGGUGUUCUCUUGAAAGUGACUUCCACAGAGUGGUCUCACAAUGAAGCCUACUUGGUUACAACCAUCCUACAAUCCUAGCCUCUUGUUUUUUUAAGAUUGGACAAAGAGGGUCAACCACACUGCAGAGCUUAACAACCCACCCUGUUUAUAUGAAUUCUGGCUUUCUGAAAGUAUCUUGAAGGAAUGAAGCAUAUUUGAUUAAGCAGAAUUAGUCUGCACGUAUUAGUUUAUAGAGAAAGGAUACAGAUUGAAGUACAUAAGGGCCCCAAGUCUUUUUUCAGACUUUCAGAAGACAUGGCUAUUUUAAAGAGCUGCUGUGCUUGUAAAACCCUACAUUUUAAAGCACCUCUUCUCAAUCAUUUUGAAAAUAUGCACAGCCCUAAAAUCUAUCCCAGAAGUCCCCAAGUGAACAAGCAUAUAUCCUUAUCAGCUCUUGGUUUAUUUUGGGAACCCAGAGGCAAGGAUAAACCCUUCAGUGUUAUCUUCCUUCACACAUAACAAAUCAAAGGUGGAGAUGUAUGUCACAUCAUGUCCUGGAAUUUAGGUCUAUUUCCCCUGUUAUUUUCAGUAGCAGGUUAAUGCAUUGUUCCAGGUCCUUCGGUCUUAAACAAAACCAUUCUUACAUAGCCUUCUGAUUGCCAAACUAGUCUGAAUAGUAUCUUUUACAUUUAUUUUUAGAAACGUGACAGUAGGGAUGUGCCACAACCUGCUGGGCAUGUGAUUACAUCUGAAUUGAAUGUUGCAAUUAAUCCUUUCUAUCUCUUCUAUCACCUCCUCCUCCUCUACACUUGCCUCGUUCUAGUACACAUGCACUGACAUACAAGCCAAGAAGCCGGAGAGGAAUAUUCACAUAGUCCCAACGGAUUAGCUUCCAGAUGCUUGGAGAAGUUCCACAUAUCUGCAUAUCUAUAUACUUAGCUUAAUCCUGAGUCUGGGCCACCACCUGGCAUUUGGAAAUCUCUAGUACAGGUCCUGUGGGGAUGAAAGGAAGAUAUGUAACAGAAGGCUCCAGCCAGAGCAAUGUCCUCUAUCUUUCUAUCCAUUGUGUAUGUUAAAAUUCACGGCUACUGUCUUUACCAUAUUAAUAUUAAAAUACAGUAUGAUUGACUUUUAAAA
Crotalus tigris (Tiger rattlesnake) is the source of this 1442-nucleotide long non-coding RNA. RefSeq lists it as uncharacterized. The record is from RefSeq and is a predicted model, not a curated record. NCBI's taxonomy places the organism in Eukaryota, Metazoa, Chordata, Lepidosauria, Squamata, Viperidae. The transcript is spliced from 2 exons.